Long non-coding RNA from Manis pentadactyla (Chinese pangolin), 4008 nucleotides. RefSeq lists it as uncharacterized. The record is from RefSeq and is a predicted model, not a curated record. NCBI's taxonomy places the organism in Eukaryota, Metazoa, Chordata, Mammalia, Pholidota, Manidae. The transcript is spliced from 4 exons.
CUGCUGCGGGCCGACUGGAGGACCAUAGUCACUCCUGGGGGGAACCCCGCCGUCAGUCCGUGUUGGGGAAAUACCUGUCUGCUGGGUGUGGCUGGGAUGCAGACGGUACCGCACCGCACUUCCUGGGAGUAGGUUACCUAGAAAAUUACGCGGAAUAAAAAGAUGAGGGUUAAUGCUGCCAGAAAGAUUUUCCCAUGCGUUGGGUUUUAUCAUGGGGGUUAUUGUAAUAACUAGCAUGUUCCAACUUCCUGCACAUCAUUCUUGACGUAAUGCCCCAGUAACUCAGCCGAGGCACAUCUCCCCUCUCCAGCAGGUGCGAUGGGGCAGGCUGGGGACGGAGCACAGUGUCACGGCUGGCAGGCCAGAGCUGGGUCUCCCACCGGAUAGGAGAUAAUCAGCCCAGGAAAGACGUACGUGGCAGAUAGCAUCCUCCUGUGCAGGCCCACACCGUCACCCAGAGGCUACAGAACACUUUAAAGGCUGAAAUAUUCAAAUGAGGAAGUAAAGAGUAGAAAAAUUGGUUUGAAGAAUCCAAUCAGAUUGCAAGAUGUUUGUAAUUGGGAAAAUGGUGAGACGGCUGGAGGAGCUCCAUGCUGCCCACCUGGGGCACAGCCAUUCAGGAAGGAGAAGAGUCUAUGCCCGUGGUGAUCCUCCUGGAAGCAGCGACGAGGGAAGAUGCCCCUGGGCCUGGAGAAUUAUCUCCCAGGGUACUCAGGGGGGACGCGGAAGGACAAUCGUGCCACGCUUAUUGCACCAGGAAUGAUAAAUGCCCAUGAGGAAAUGAAGCCGAAGAUUCAUUUCUACAAAAACAAAAGCCAUCGGCCACUUCGCCUCUUACAUGCUGAAGCAUAUGGGACAACAUGAGGUACUGUUAGUGACAUCAUACUGGCCUCGUGGUCACAGCCAGGACAGGGCAGCCCUGGCCCCGGCCGUGCCUCCUGCAUGGGCGGGGGUGCACGGGUGGCUCUCUGGUCGCAGCGUCGGACCCUCUGGGGGCCAAGAGUCCGCGUUGUGAACAAGCCCCCGGGUGGCUCUGGCGGCUCACUGAGGCGCCAGGGCCCCCUGGCCCCCCGCUGUGCCGACUCCAGGGCGAGGGCCCCAUUUUUCCCACUUCCAACUGCCAUCUGUUCAGGUUCAGGCAAGGAAUAGGAACAAAACGGUUUUGAGUGACUUCAGUACAUAGUUCACAUCUGCUGUCGUCUUUCCUGGAUGGGGCCUGUUGAUUCCCGCUCCCAGCGGGUGGAUUUGUUCUCUGAGCUUUCAUAACCCGCGGGAAGUUCAGGCCAGGGGUCACCGCGGUCGUUUCCCCCAUUCCUGCAGGCCUGGGUCACCCACGUGCCCGGAGGCAGAAUGUCUGGGCCCCAGGGCCUGCCAGCAGGCACCCCAUGAGCUUCCUGCGCCCCUCUUCCAUCAGAAGCCCAGAUGAGGGGGGCAGUACCAACAGGGGCCACUUGAAAGGCGUGCAGCCUGUCACCUCCCAGACAGUCCGGACAUCACCUGGAGAUCGAGCUGGACCCCCAGAGUCGCAGCCAUGGACCGCGGGCCUCGGCCCCAACUCGUCCCUGAGAUGUCCCUGCCCACAGCCCCCUCACCGCCCGCAGGAGGCCCUGGCGAGUUACCACGCAGAGCCUGCGGCGUGUACACCGCGCAGAAGCCGCCUCCCACGGAGCCACUCUACGCCCCUUGGACGGGAUCGCGUGAACAGCCUGUCAGACCUGAGCCACAUUUCUCCUGCAGGGCUGUCUGUUUACUUAACUGGCACGUGCCGCUCGUAAGGCAGCUUCCCCUUUGCCUUACUGCUUUGGUGGUGGGGGAAUGCUAAGCCAGGGACUUUAGUCCAGGUUUUUGCAAUUAUUCAUGGCCCAUGACUGGUAUCAUUCAUUGCAAAGGCAAGGCGGGGGAGGUGGUACGUAUGCCAGUGAGCGGGAUGGGUGUGGGGUGGGGGAGGUGGGUACCUAUGCCAGUGAGCACCCUUCUUCACCAUUCCCUUUGAGGUGAGAACCUACUGGUUUGGGUAGGAAAAAAAGGUUGAGAACUUCUACUUUCUCAACACCUCAGCUUUUCUUAUACUUCUAUUUUCAAUUAUAUAUUUUCCUUUUAUUUCAUUGUGUCAAAUGCAGUAUUUAAAAACCCUCCAAAUUUGUUGUGAAAUAAGAUAUAAAUAGGAGAAGGAAGGGGGGAAGGAAAUAAAGCCAUUUCUGGAAAGGCAAUAUUUGCCACUUUUACAGGUGUAUUUAAUUGUCCCUGUCUAGCCCAAGGUGAAGAUUUCUGCAACAUCCCAAGGAUAUUCAUGCCCAUCAGAAAUUGGGAAUGUCUGACCUUUGCGACCUAGCUACUGAUGUAUGCACAGCUCUAGAAAUUCAUUUAAAAUUUACAAAAUACACAGAAAUCUGUUGCAUUCCUUACACUAAUGAUGAGCUAGCAGAAAGAGAAAUCAGGAAAACAGUUCCAUUCACAAUUGCAUCAAAAAGAAUAAAAUACCUAGGAAUAAACCUAACCAAUGAAGUGAAAGACAUACCCUGAAAACUACAAGACACUCAUGAGAGAAAUUAAAGAGGACACUAACAAAUGGAAACUCAUCUCAUGCUCUUGGCUAGGAAGAAUUAAUAUUGUCAAAAUGGCCAUCCUGCCUAAAGCAAUAUACAGAUUCAAUGCAAUUCCUAUCAAAAUACCAAUGACAUUCCUCAACAAACCAGAAUAAAUAUUUCUAAAAUUCAUAUGAAAGCACAAAAGACCCAGAAUAGCCAAAGCAAUCCUGAGAAGGAAGAAUAAAGCAGAGAGAAUUAUGCUCCCUGACUUCAAGCUCUACUACAAAGCCACAGUAAUCAAGACAAUUUGGUACUGGCACAAGAACAGACCCACAGACCAGUGGAACAGAAUAGAGACUCCAGACAUUAACCUAAAUAUAUAUGGUCAAGUAAUAUAUGAUAAAGGAGCCAUGGACAUACAAUGGGGAAAUGACAGCCUCUUCAACAACUGGUGUUGGCAAAACUGGACAGCUACAUGCAAGAGAAUAAAACUGGAUCACUGUCUAACCCCAGACACAAGAGUAAACUCGAAAUGGAUCAAAGACCUGAAUGUAAGUCAUGAAACCAUAAAACUCUUAGAAAAAAACAUAGGCAAAAGUCUCCUGAAUAUAAACAUGAGCAACUUUUUCCUGAACGCAUCUCCUUGGGCAAGGGAAACAAAAGCAAAAAUGAACAAGUGGGACUACAUCAUAAUAAAAAGCUUCUGUACAGCAAAGGACACCAUCAGCAUCCUACAGUAUGGGAGAAUAUAUUUGUAAUCCGACAAGGGGUUAACAUCCAAAAUAUAUAAAGAAUUUACAUGACUCAACACCCAAAAAGCAAAUAACCUGAUUAAAGAAUGGGUGGAGGAUAUGAACAGACAAUUCUCCAAACAAGAAAUUCAGAUGGCCAACAGGCACAUGAAAAGAAUGCUUUACAUCGCUAAUCAUCAGGGAAAUGCAAAUGAAAACCACAAUGAGGUAUCACCUCACCCCAGUUAGGAUGGCCAACAUCAAAAAGACUAGGAACAACAAAUGCUGGCAAAGAUGCAGAGAAAGGGGAACCCUCCUACACUGUUGGAGGGAAUGUAAAUUAGUUCAACCAUUGUGGAAAGCAAUAUGGAGGUUCCUCAAAAAACGAAAAAUAGAAAUACCAUUUGAACCAGGAAUUCCACUCCUAGGAAUUUACCCAAAGAAAACAAGUUCUCAGAUUAAAAAAGACAGAUGCACCCCUAUGUUUAUCGCAGCACUAUUUGCAAUAGCCGAGAUAUGGAAGCAACCUAAGUGUCCAUCAGUAGAUGAAUGGAUAAAGAAGAGGUGGUACAUAUACGCAAUGGAAUAUUAUUCAGCCAUAAGAAGAAAACAAAUCCUACCAUUUGCAACAACAUGGAUGGAGCUAGAGGGUAUUAUGCUCAGUGAAAUAAGCCAGGCGGAGAAAGACAAGUACCAAAUGAUUUCACUAGUGUGGUGACCAAAGGGAAGGAGUGAGGGAGGGAAGGUGG